AGAGUUUGAUCAUGGCUCAGGACUAACGCUGGCGGCGUGCCUAAUACAUGCAAGUCGAACGGGAUUCUUUGAUCAGCUUGCUGAGAGAAGGAUCUAGUGGCGGACGGGUGAGUAACGCGUGGGAAUCUGCCUCUUACUGGGGGAUAACAGUGGGAAACUACUGCUAAUACCGCAUAAGAUCUUCGGAUGAAAGGUGCAACUGCACCGGUAAGAGAUGAGCCCGCGUCCCAUUAGCUAGUUGGUGAGGUAAAGGCUCACCAAGGCGACGAUGGGUAGCCGGCCUGAGAGGGUGAACGGCCACACUGGGACUGAGACACGGCCCAGACUCCUACGGGAGGCAGCAGUAGGGAAUCUUCCGCAAUGGGCGCAAGCCUGACGGAGCGACGCCGCGUGAGUGAUGAAGGCCUUCGGGUCGUAAAGCUCUGUUCUUGAGGACGAAUAAGCCAGGGAGUGGAAAGCCCUGGUGAUGACUGUACUUAAGGAGAAAGCUCCGGCUAACUACGUGCCAGCAGCCGCGGUAAU
RNAcentral lists this ribosomal RNA (522 nucleotides) under uncultured bacterium. RNAcentral describes it as "bacterial SSU rRNA". It matches the Rfam family "Bacterial small subunit ribosomal RNA", at positions 8 to 524 of the family's 1533-position model. The record is from RNAcentral.